RNAcentral lists this ribosomal RNA (253 nucleotides) under uncultured bacterium. RNAcentral describes it as "partial 16S ribosomal RNA". It matches the Rfam family "Bacterial small subunit ribosomal RNA", at positions 524 to 776 of the family's 1533-position model. The record is from RNAcentral.
UACGUAGGGUGCAAGCGUUAAUCGGAAUUACUGGGCGUAAAGCGUGCGCAGGCGGCUUCCUAAGUCAGAUGUGAAAUCCCCGGGCUUAACCUGGGAACUGCGUUUGAAACUGGGGGGCUAGAGUGCGGCAGAGGGGGGUGGAAUUCCACGUGUAGCAGUGAAAUGCGUAGAUAUGUGGAGGAACACCGAUGGCGAAGGCAGCCCCCUGGGCCUGCACUGACGCUCAUGCACGAAAGCGUGGGGAGCAAACAGG